CACCAGACUCCUACGGGAGGCAGCAGUGGGGGAUAUUGCACAAUGGGGGGAACCCUGAUGCAGCGACGCCGCGUGGGCGAUGGAGCGCCUCGGCGCGUAAAGCCCUCUCAGCAGGGAAGAAGAUGACGGUACCUGACUAAGAAGCCCCGGCUAAAUACGUGCCAGCAGCCGCGGUAAUACGUAUGGGGCAAGCGUUGUCCGGAUUUACUGGGUGUAAAGGGCGUGUAGCCGGGCUUACAAGUCAGAUGUGAAAUCCGGGGGCUCAACCCCCGAACUGCAUUUGAAACUGUAGGUCUUGAGUAUCGGAGAGGCAGGCGGAAUUCCUAGUGUAGCGGUGAAAUGCGUAGAUAUUAGGAGGAACACCAGUGGCGAAGGCGGCCUGCUGGACGACAACUGACGGUGAGGCGCGAAAGCGUGGGGAGCAAACAGGAUUAGAUACCCCCGUA
This 446-nucleotide ribosomal RNA is filed under the name uncultured bacterium. RNAcentral describes it as "bacterial SSU rRNA". It matches the Rfam family "Bacterial small subunit ribosomal RNA", at positions 329 to 792 of the family's 1533-position model. The record is from RNAcentral.